UUACGGCCAUAUCACGUUGAAACACCGCUUCUCGUGUGAUCACCGAAUUUAAGCAACUUCGAGCCUGGUUAGUACUUAGAUGGGUGACCGCUUGGGAAUAUC
RNAcentral lists this ribosomal RNA (102 nucleotides) under Acanthosepion pharaonis. The record is from RNAcentral. Lineage: Eukaryota; Metazoa; Mollusca; Cephalopoda; Sepiida; Sepiidae.